Molecule: ribosomal RNA, 462 nt
Filed under: uncultured Colwelliaceae bacterium
Lineage: Bacteria; Pseudomonadati; Pseudomonadota; Gammaproteobacteria; Alteromonadales; Colwelliaceae
Description: bacterial SSU rRNA
Rfam family: Bacterial small subunit ribosomal RNA
Source: RNAcentral
AUGUGGGUUAGUCCGCACGAGCGCACCCUAUCCUUAUUUGCCAGCGCGUUAUGGCGGGAACUCUAAGGAGACUGCCGGUGAUAAACCGGAGGAAGGUGGGGACGACGUCAAGUCAUCAUGGCCCUUACGGGAUGGGCUACACACGUGCUACAAUGGCGUAUACAGAGUGCUGCAAUACCGCGAGGUGGAGCGAAUCACACAAAGUACGUCGUAGUCCGGAUCGGAGUCUGCAACUCGACUCCGUGAAGUCGGAAUCGCUAGUAAUCGUAGAUCAGAAUGCUACGGUGAAUACGUUCCCGGGCCUUGUACACACCGCCCGUCACACCAUGGGAGUGGGAUGCAAAAGAAGUGGCUAGUUUAACCUUUCGGGGAGGACGGUCACCACUUUGUGUUUCAUGACUGGGGUGAAGUCGUAACAAGGUAACCCUAGGGGAACCUGGGGUUGGAUCACCUCCUUAUCUU